RNAcentral lists this transfer RNA (77 nucleotides) under Cellulophaga sp. HaHaR_3_176. RNAcentral's name for it is "tRNA-Met". It matches the Rfam family "tRNA". Rfam says of the family: Transfer RNA (tRNA) molecules are approximately 80 nucleotides in length. Lineage: Bacteria; Pseudomonadati; Bacteroidota; Flavobacteriia; Flavobacteriales; Flavobacteriaceae. The record is from RNAcentral.
GUAAAUGAAAACAUAUGAAAUAAAAAAUUGCCUGACUCAUAAUCAGGUGGUCCCUGGUUCGAGCCCAGGUGGGACCA